Molecule: ribosomal RNA, 253 nt
Filed under: uncultured bacterium
Lineage: Bacteria
Description: partial 16S ribosomal RNA
Rfam family: Bacterial small subunit ribosomal RNA
Source: RNAcentral
UACGUAGGUGGCGAGCGUUGUCCGGAUUUACUGGGCGUAAAGGGAGCGUAGGCGGACUUUUAAGUGAGAUGCGAAAUACUCGGGCUCAACUUGAGUGCUGCAUUUCAAACUGGAAGUCUAGAGUGCAGGAGAGGAGAAUGGAAUUCCUAGUGUAGCGGUGAAAUGCGUAGAGAUUAGGAAGAACACCAGUGGCGAAGGCGGUUCUCUGGACUGUAACUGACGCUGAGGCUCGAAAGCGUGGGGAGCAAACAGG